This is a non-coding RNA of Beta vulgaris subsp. vulgaris (sugar beet), 89 nucleotides long. The record is from Rfam. NCBI's taxonomy places the organism in Eukaryota, Viridiplantae, Streptophyta, Magnoliopsida, Caryophyllales, Amaranthaceae.
GACUCGAUGAUAUUCUAGCCUGUAAAGGCAAUAUACGCUAUUCUGAAUCACAUAUGUUGUCAUUCAUUCAUGAAUUUUUAAUGAGAGUC